RNAcentral lists this ribosomal RNA (368 nucleotides) under uncultured organism. RNAcentral describes it as "partial 16S ribosomal RNA". It matches the Rfam family "Bacterial small subunit ribosomal RNA", at positions 527 to 896 of the family's 1533-position model. The record is from RNAcentral.
GUAGGGUGCAAGCGUUAAUCGGAAUUACUGGGCGUAAAGCGUGCGCAGGCGGUUUUGUAAGACAGUGGUGAAAUCCCCGGGCUCAACCUGGGAACUGCCAUUGUGACUGCAAGGCUGGAGUGCGGCAGAGGGGGAUGGAAUUCCGCGUGUAGCAGUGAAAUGCGUAGAUAUGCGGAGGAACACCGAUGGCGAAGGCAAUCCCCUGGGCCUGCACUGACGCUCAUGCACGAAAGCGUGGGGAGCAAACAGGAUUAGAUACCCUGGUAGUCCACGCCCUAAACGAUGUCAACUGGUUGUUGGGAAUUUAUUUUCUCAGUAACGAAGCUAACGCGUGAAGUUGACCGCCUGGGAGUACGGCCGCAAGGUUA